GAACUCCUUUUACUUCUGUCUCCAGGUUAGAAUUGGCCCAAGAGGAACUUGCCUUAGAUUCCAGAGAACACAGUCAUCACUCUUGAGCAUCCUUUCAUCAGAUACAGUGAUGGUGUUUGUCUUGCUCCAGUGUGGCCUCUUCUUCCUCCACUUAGCAUUGGUCCAUCCUCCUGACAACCAGCUCUGUUGACUAGCAGCCGCCCGGGCUUGGUUGUAGUCCCUCUGAGGGGCCAUUUGAACACUAAACAGAUGAAGGCUGUCUGCUGAUUAGAAAGGCAUUUUGUUUUGACCCCAACUGUCUGAUACAAGAUGGAUAAUCACAUGAAGAACUCUUUGGUCUGUAG
This 344-nucleotide long non-coding RNA is filed under the name Marmota monax (woodchuck). The record is from RNAcentral. Lineage: Eukaryota; Metazoa; Chordata; Mammalia; Rodentia; Sciuridae.